This 1455-nucleotide ribosomal RNA is filed under the name Streptococcus salivarius. RNAcentral's name for it is "bacterial SSU rRNA". It matches the Rfam family "Bacterial small subunit ribosomal RNA". The record is from RNAcentral. Lineage: Bacteria; Bacillati; Bacillota; Bacilli; Lactobacillales; Streptococcaceae.
CGGGGCGGGGGGUGCUAAUACAUGCAAGUAGAACGCUGAAGAGAGGAGCUUGCUCUUCUUGGAUGAGUUGCGAACGGGUGAGUAACGCGUAGGUAACCUGCCUUGUAGCGGGGGAUAACUAUUGGAAACGAUAGCUAAUACCGCAUAACAAUGGAUGACCCAUGUCAUUUAUUUGAAAGGGGCAAAUGCUCCACUACAAGAUGGACCUGCGUUGUAUUAGCUAGUAGGUGAGGUAACGGCUCACCUAGGCGACGAUACAUAGCCGACCUGAGAGGGUGAUCGGCCACACUGGGACUGAGACACGGCCCAGACUCCUACGGGAGGCAGCAGUAGGGAAUCUUCGGCAAUGGGGGCAACCCUGACCGAGCAACGCCGCGUGAGUGAAGAAGGUUUUCGGAUCGUAAAGCUCUGUUGUAAGUCAAGAACGAGUGUGAGAGUGGAAAGUUCACACUGUGACGGUAGCUUACCAGAAAGGGACGGCUAACUACGUGCCAGCAGCCGCGGUAAUACGUAGGUCCCGAGCGUUGUCCGGAUUUAUUGGGCGUAAAGCGAGCGCAGGCGGUUUGAUAAGUCUGAAGUUAAAGGCUGUGGCUCAACCAUAGUUCGCUUUGGAAACUGUCAAACUUGAGUGCAGAAGGGGAGAGUGGAAUUCCAUGUGUAGCGGUGAAAUGCGUAGAUAUAUGGAGGAACACCGGUGGCGAAAGCGGCUCUCUGGUCUGUAACUGACGCUGAGGCUCGAAAGCGUGGGGAGCGAACAGGAUUAGAUACCCUGGUAGUCCACGCCGUAAACGAUGAGUGCUAGGUGUUGGAUCCUUUCCGGGAUUCAGUGCCGCAGCUAACGCAUUAAGCACUCCGCCUGGGGAGUACGACCGCAAGGUUGAAACUCAAAGGAAUUGACGGGGGCCCGCACAAGCGGUGGAGCAUGUGGUUUAAUUCGAAGCAACGCGAAGAACCUUACCAGGUCUUGACAUCCCGAUGCUAUUUCUAGAGAUAGAAAGUUACUUCGGUACAUCGGUGACAGGUGGUGCAUGGUUGUCGUCAGCUCGUGUCGUGAGAUGUUGGGUUAAGUCCCGCAACGAGCGCAACCCCUAUUGUUAGUUGCCAUCAUUCAGUUGGGCACUCUAGCGAGACUGCCGGUAAUAAACCGGAGGAAGGUGGGGAUGACGUCAAAUCAUCAUGCCCCUUAUGACCUGGGCUACACACGUGCUACAAUGGUUGGUACAACGAGUUGCGAGUCGGUGACGGCAAGCUAAUCUCUUAAAGCCAAUCUCAGUUCGGAUUGUAGGCUGCAACUCGCCUACAUGAAGUCGGAAUCGCUAGUAAUCGCGGAUCAGCACGCCGCGGUGAAUACGUUCCCGGGCCUUGUACACACCGCCCGUCACACCACGAGAGUUUGUAACACCCGAAGUCGGUGAGGUAACCUUUGGAGCCAGCCGCUUAAGGGUUGGAAAAAGG